GAUGAACGCUGGCGGCGUGCCUAAUACAUGCAAGUCGAGCGAACGGACGAGAAGCUUGCUUCUCUGAUGUUAGCGGCGGACGGGUGAGUAACACGUGGAUAACCUACCUAUAAGACUGGGAUAACUUCGGGAAGCCGGAGCUAAUACCGGAUGAUAUUUUGAACCGCAUGGUUCAAAAGUGAAAGACGGUCUUGCUGUCACUUAUAGAUGGAUCCGCGCUGCAUUAGCUAGUUGGUAAGGUAACGGCUUACCAAGGCAACGAUGCAUAGCCGACCGGAGAGGGUGAUCGGCCACACUGGAACUGAGACACGGUCCAGACUCCUACGGGAGGCAGCAGUAGGGAAUCUUCCGCAAUGGGCGAAAGCCUGACGGAGCAACGCCGCGUGAGUGAUGAAGGUCUUCGGAUCGUAAAACUCUGUUAUUAGGGAAGAACAUAUGUGUAAGUAACUGUGCACAUCUUGACGGUACCUAAUCAGAAAGCCACGGCUAACUACGUG
This 497-nucleotide ribosomal RNA is filed under the name uncultured bacterium. RNAcentral's name for it is "partial 16S ribosomal RNA". It matches the Rfam family "Bacterial small subunit ribosomal RNA", at positions 28 to 507 of the family's 1533-position model. The record is from RNAcentral.